RNAcentral lists this ribosomal RNA (265 nucleotides) under uncultured Staphylococcus sp. RNAcentral describes it as "partial 16S ribosomal RNA". It matches the Rfam family "Bacterial small subunit ribosomal RNA", at positions 96 to 354 of the family's 1533-position model. The record is from RNAcentral. Lineage: Bacteria; Bacillati; Bacillota; Bacilli; Caryophanales; Staphylococcaceae.
CGGCGGACGGGUGAGUAACACGUGGAUAACCUACCUAUAAGACUGGGAUAACUUCGGGAAACCGGAGCUAAUACCGGAUAAUAUAUUGAACCGCAUGGUUCAAUAGUGAAAGACGGUUUUGCUGUCACUUANAGAUGGAUCCGCGCCGCAUUAGCUAGUUGGUAAGGUAACGGCUUACCAGGCAACGAUGCGUAGCCGACCUGAGAGGGUGAUCGGCCACACUGGAACUGAGACACGGUCCAGACUCCUACGGGAGGCAGCAGAC